RNAcentral lists this ribosomal RNA (253 nucleotides) under uncultured bacterium. Its description in RNAcentral is "partial 16S ribosomal RNA". It matches the Rfam family "Bacterial small subunit ribosomal RNA", at positions 524 to 776 of the family's 1533-position model. The record is from RNAcentral.
UACAGAGGGGGCAAGCGUUGUUCGGAAUUACUGGGCGUAAAGGGCGCGUAGGCGGCCAACUAAGUCAGACGUGAAAUCCCUCGGCUCAACCGGGGAACUGCGUCUGAUACUGGAUGGCUUGAAUUCGGGAGAGGGAUGCGGAAUUCCAGGUGUAGCGGUGAAAUGCGUAGAUAUCUGGAGGAACACCGGUGGCGAAGGCGGCAUCCUGGACCGGUAUUGACGCUGAGGCGCGAAAGCCAGGGGAGCAAACGGG